This 253-nucleotide ribosomal RNA is filed under the name uncultured bacterium. RNAcentral's name for it is "partial 16S ribosomal RNA". It matches the Rfam family "Bacterial small subunit ribosomal RNA", at positions 524 to 776 of the family's 1533-position model. The record is from RNAcentral.
UACGAACUGUGCGAACGUUAUUCGGAAUCACUGGGCUUACAGGGUGCGUAGGCGGCUUGUUAAGUAGGGUGUGAAAGCCCCCGGCUCAACCGGGGAAUUGCGCCCUAAACUGGCGAGCUGGAGUGAGAUAGGGGUGUGUGGAACUUCCGGUGGAGCGGUGAAAUGUGUUGAUAUCGGAAGAAACGCCGGUGGCGAAAGCGACACACUGGAUCUUGUCUGACGCUGAGGCACGAAAGCCAGGGGAGCGAACGGG